This 500-nucleotide ribosomal RNA is filed under the name uncultured Lachnospiraceae bacterium. Its description in RNAcentral is "partial 16S ribosomal RNA". The record is from RNAcentral. Lineage: Bacteria; Bacillati; Bacillota; Clostridia; Lachnospirales; Lachnospiraceae.
CACGUAGUUAGCCGGGGCUUCUUGGUCAGGUACCGUCUUUGUUCUUCCCUGCUGAUAGAGCUUUACAUACCGGAGUACUCCUUCACUCACGCGGCGUCGCUGCAUCAGGGUUCCCCCCAUUGUGCAAUAUCCCCCACUGCUGCCUCCCGUAGGAAUUUGGGCCGUGUCUCAGUCCCAAUGUGGCCGGUCACCCUCUCAGGUCGGCUACCGAUCGUCGCCUUGGUGGGCCGUUACCCCACCAACCAGCUGAUCGGACGCGGGUCCAUCCUAUACCACCGGAGUUUUCCGCACUGUCCCAUGCGGGACUGUGCGCUCAUGCGGUAUUAGCAGCCAUUUCUAGCUGUUAUCCCCCAGUAUAGGGCAGGUUACCCACGCGUUACUCACCCGUCCGCCACUAAGUCAUGGCCCCUUCCGCCCGAAGGCCUCAAGGGUCAUGCUUCGUUCGACUUGCAUGUGUUAGGCACGCCGCCAGCGUUCAUCCUGAGCCAGGAUCAAACUCU